AAUCAGAAGCCAUACUGCAGCUUGGUUCAGCUUCAAAACCCGAGGUAGAAGCGGUAUGGUUUUUUGGUAC
RNAcentral lists this unclassified non-coding RNA (70 nucleotides) under Populus trichocarpa (black cottonwood). RNAcentral's name for it is "precursor microRNA MIR181". Lineage: Eukaryota; Viridiplantae; Streptophyta; Magnoliopsida; Malpighiales; Salicaceae. The record is from RNAcentral.